CAGCCGCCGCGGGAAUACGAAGGGGGCUAGCGUUGCUCGGAAUGACUGGGCGUAAAGGGCGCGUAGGCGGAUCACGCAGUCAGAUGUGAAAUUCCUGGGCUUAACCUGGGGGCUGCAUUUGAGACGCGUGGUCUAGAGUGUGAAAGAGGGUCGUGGAAUUCCCAGUGUAGAGGUGAAAUUCGUAGAUAUUGGGAAGAACACCGGUGGCGAAGGCGGCGACCUGGUUCAUGACUGACGCUGAGGCGCGAAAGCGUGGGGAGCAAACAGGAUUAGAUACCCGCGUAGUCCCUGUCUCUUAUAC
RNAcentral lists this ribosomal RNA (301 nucleotides) under uncultured bacterium. Its description in RNAcentral is "partial 16S ribosomal RNA". It matches the Rfam family "Bacterial small subunit ribosomal RNA", at positions 509 to 807 of the family's 1533-position model. The record is from RNAcentral.